RNAcentral lists this ribosomal RNA (330 nucleotides) under uncultured eukaryote. RNAcentral describes it as "partial 18S ribosomal RNA". It matches the Rfam family "Eukaryotic small subunit ribosomal RNA", at positions 1470 to 1796 of the family's 1831-position model. The record is from RNAcentral.
CCCUUAGAUGUUCUGGGCCGCACGCGCGCUACACUGAUGCAUUCAACGAGUCUAAAACCUGGUCUGAUAGGGCUGGGUAAUCUUUUGAAUGUGCAUCGUGAUUGGGAUAGAUGAUUGCAAUUCUUCAUCUUCAACGAGGAAUGCCUAGUAAACGCAAGUCAUCAGCUUGCAUUGAUUACGUCCCUGCCCUUUGUACACACCGCCCGUCGCUCCUACCGAUUGAAUGUUCCGAUGAAUACCAUGGACUGAGAGUAUGAAUGGGUUCGCCUAUUUCUGCUUCUCGGGAAGUGGAGUAAAUCUUAUCAUUUAGAGGAAGGAGAAGUCGUAACA